GCAGUCGACGAACUCUGGUAUUGAUUGGUGCUUGCAUCAUGAUUUACAUUUGAGUGAGUGGCGAACUGGUGAGUAACACGUGGGAAACCUGCCCAGAAGCGGGGGAUAACACCUGGAAACAGAUGCUAAUACCGCAUAACAACUUGGACCGCAUGGUCCGAGCUUGAAAGAUGGCUUCGGCUAUCACUUUUGGAUGGUCCCGCGGCGUAUUAGCUAGAUGGUGGGGUAACGGCUCACCAUGGCAAUGAUACGUAGCCGACCUGAGAGGGUAAUCGGCCACAUUGGGACUGAGACACGGCCCAAACUCCUACGGGAGGCAGCAGUAGGGAAUCUUCCACAAUGGACGAAAGUCUGAUGGAGCAACGCCGCGUGAGUGAAGAAGGGUUUCGGCUCGUAAAACUCUGUUGUUAAAGAAGAACAUAUCUGAGAGUAACUGUUCAGGUAUUGACGGUAUUUAACCAGAAAGCCACGGCUAACUACGUGCCAGCAGCCGCGGUAAUACGUAGGUGGCAAGCGUUGUCCGGAUUUAUUGGGCGUAAAGCGAGCGCAGGCGGUUUUUUAAGUCUGAUGUGAAAGCCUUCGGCUCAACCGAAGAAGUGCAUCGGAAACUGGGAAACUUGAGUGCAGAAGAGGACAGUGGAACUCCAUGUGUAGCGGUGAAAUGCGUAGAUAUAUGGAAGAACACCAGUGGCGAAGGCGGCUGUCUGGUCUGUAACUGACGCUGAGGCUCGAAAGUAUGGGUAGCAAACAGGAUUAGAUACCCUGGUAGUCCAUACCGUAAACGAUGAAUGCUAAGUGUUGGAGGGUUUCCGCCCUUCAGUGCUGCAGCUAACGCAUUAAGCAUUCCGCCUGGGGAGUACGGCCGCAAGGCUGAAACUCAAAGGAAUUGACGGGGGCCCGCACAAGCGGUGGAGCAUGUGGUUUAAUUCGAAGCUACGCGAAGAACCUUACCAGGUCUUGACAUACUAUGCAAAUCUAAGAGAUUAGACGUUCCCUUCGGGGACAUGGAUACAGGUGGUGCAUGGUUGUCGUCAGCUCGUGUCGUGAGAUGUUGGGUUAAGUCCCGCAACGAGCGCAACCCUUAUUAUCAGUUGCCAGCAUUAAGUUGGGCACUCUGGUGAGACUGCCGGUGACAAACCGGAGGAAGGUGGGGAUGACGUCAAAUCAUCAUGCCCCUUAUGACCUGGGCUACACACGUGCUACAAUGGAUGGUACAACGAGUUGCGAACUCGCGAGAGUAAGCUAAUCUCUUAAAGCCAUUCUCAGUUCGGAUUGUAGGCUGCAACUCGCCUACAUGAAGUCGGAAUCGCUAGUAAUCGCGGAUCAGCAUGCCGCGGUGAAUACGUUCCCGGGCCUUGUACACACCGCCCGUCACACCAUGAGAGUUUGUAACACCCAAAGUCGGUGGGGUAAC
Molecule: ribosomal RNA, 1414 nt
Filed under: Lactiplantibacillus plantarum
Lineage: Bacteria; Bacillati; Bacillota; Bacilli; Lactobacillales; Lactobacillaceae
Description: bacterial SSU rRNA
Rfam family: Bacterial small subunit ribosomal RNA
Source: RNAcentral